CGGGAAGUAGCUCAGCUUGGUGGAGCACUUGGUUUGGGACCAAGGGGCCGCAGGUUCAAAUCCUGUCUUCCCGACCA
This 77-nucleotide transfer RNA is filed under the name Acholeplasma laidlawii. Its description in RNAcentral is "tRNA-Pro(tgg)". It matches the Rfam family "tRNA". From Rfam's summary of the family: Transfer RNA (tRNA) molecules are approximately 80 nucleotides in length. Their secondary structure includes four short double-helical elements and three loops (D, anti-codon, and T loops). The record is from RNAcentral. Lineage: Bacteria; Bacillati; Mycoplasmatota; Mollicutes; Acholeplasmatales; Acholeplasmataceae. RNAcentral also lists the same sequence under 2 other names.